RNAcentral lists this transfer RNA (67 nucleotides) under Drosophila hydei. Its description in RNAcentral is "tRNA-Trp". It matches the Rfam family "tRNA". From Rfam's summary of the family: Transfer RNA (tRNA) molecules are approximately 80 nucleotides in length. Their secondary structure includes four short double-helical elements and three loops (D, anti-codon, and T loops). Further hydrogen bonds mediate the characteristic L-shaped molecular structure. tRNAs have two regions of fundamental functional importance: the anti-codon, which is responsible for specific mRNA codon recognition, and the 3' end, to which the tRNAs corresponding amino acid is attached (by aminoacyl-tRNA synthetases). tRNAs cope with the degeneracy of the genetic code in two manners: having more than one tRNA (with a specific anti-codon) for a particular amino acid; and 'wobble' base-pairing, i.e. permitting non-standard base-pairing at the 3rd anti-codon position. The record is from RNAcentral. Lineage: Eukaryota; Metazoa; Arthropoda; Insecta; Diptera; Drosophilidae.
AAGGCUUUAAGUUAAAUAAACUAAUAGCCUUCAAAGCUAUAAAUAUAGGAAUACCCUUUAAGCCUUA